CGUACACUCCUACGGGAGGCAGCAGUGAGGAAUAUUGGACAAUGGGUGGAAGCCUGAUCCAGCCAUCCCGCGUGCAGGAAGACGGCCCUAUGGGUUGUACACUGCUUUUAUCUGGGGAUAAACCUACUUACGUGUAAGUAGCUGAAGGUACCAGAAGAAUAAGCACCGGCUAACUCCGUGCCAGCAGCCGCGGUAAUACGGAGGGUGCAAGCGUUAUCCGGAUUUAUUGGGUUUAAAGGGUCCGUAGGCGGACUGAUAAGUCAGUGGUGAAAUCCGACAGCUUAACUGUCGAACUGCCAUUGAUACUGUUAGUCUUGAGUAAGGUUGAAGUGGCUGGAAUAAGUAGUGUAGCGGUGAAAUGCAUAGAUAUUACUUAGAACACCAAUUGCGAAGGCAGGUCACUAAGUCUUAACUGACGCUGAUGGACGAAAGCGUGGGGAGCGAACAGGAUUAGAAACCCCUGUAGUCCC
Molecule: ribosomal RNA, 470 nt
Filed under: uncultured organism
Description: partial 16S ribosomal RNA
Rfam family: Bacterial small subunit ribosomal RNA
Source: RNAcentral